This 406-nucleotide ribosomal RNA is filed under the name uncultured bacterium. RNAcentral's name for it is "partial 16S ribosomal RNA". It matches the Rfam family "Bacterial small subunit ribosomal RNA", at positions 30 to 526 of the family's 1533-position model. The record is from RNAcentral.
AUUGAACGCUGGCGGCAGGCCUAACACAUGCAAGUCGAACGAGUGGCGGACGGGUGGGUAAUGUCUGGGAAACUGCCUGAUGGAGGGGGAUAACUACUGGAAACGGUAGCUAAUAACGAAUAGCGUAAGAGGUGCCCAGAUGGGAUUAGCUUGUUGGUGGGGUAACGGCACACCAAGGCGACGUUCCCUAGCUGGUCUGAGAGGAUGACCAGCCACACUGGAACUGAGCCACGGUCCAGACUCCUACGGGAGGCAGCAGUGGGGAAUAUUGCACAAUGGUCGCAAGCCUGAUGCAGCCAUGCCGCGUGUAUGAAGAAGGCCUUCGGGUUGUAAAGGACUUUCGGCGGGGAGGCGUUACCCGCAGAAGAAGCACCGGCUAACUCCGUGCCAGCAGCCGCGGUAAUAC